UUCGCAGACUUCCAAAACCUCCGAGACGAAACCCUGUGCUUUUCGAGGUCACUCAUGGCGAUGCCCACCUCGUCGACGCCCCAACCACCGUACUCCUUCGGGGCACCAUGGCCGGAGCUCAACGAAGGCUUGUCCUAUGCUGACGCCGUUCCUUCAAUCCAUCCUGCUCCAACGCUGAUCGGAUUCUAUUCCACGGAGUACAAGAGCUCGGCACCGCUGGAAGGUUGGCUUCGAAGAAUCCGGAAUGGCCAGAUUACCAUUGACGGCCAAGUUGUUACGGAUCCUGAGACUGUUCUUAGAGCGGGUUCAAAAGUAGUUUAUCAUCGGCUUCCUUGGAAAGAACCUCCUGCCCCUUAUCUGCUUGAAGUUCUUUAUGAAGAUGAUCACAUGGUUGCUAUAAAUAAACCUUCUGGUCUGCAAGUUCUGCCUGGAGGAAUUUUUCAGCAGAGAACUGUCCUACAGCAGCUAAGGUGGAAUACAUGGAAAGGAAUUCCUGUUUCACGUCGUUGUGGAGAAGCGCAUCCUGUACCUGUUCAUCGCCUGGGACGAGGCACAUCAGGAAUAUUACUGUGUGCUAAGACAAAGCAGGCAAAAACUGGCCUUGCAAAAUUGUUUGCUGUCGGUACAUCUGCCAUCGAGGAGAAAAGAAAAUAUAGCCAGAAGCUUGAUAAGGAUUGGAGGAUUUCAAAGUUCUAUAGAGCACUUGUGACAGGGCUACUUGAAGAUGAUGAGGUUAUAAUCAAACAGCCCAUUGGAGUUAUGCAGUAUCCUGGUGUUGCAAAAGGGCUUUAUGUUGCGACUUCUUCAGGGAAGCCUGCUUUGAGCAAAGUGUCUGUUGUUGAAAGAGAUGUGCAGGAAAAACGGACAUUGGUUCAGGUAGAGAUCCAUUCGGGGCGGCCACAUCAAAUUCGCAUUCACCUUGCUUUUAUUGGGCAUCCACUUUUUGGCGAUCCUCUUUAUGACAUUGGUGGACAUCCAAAAUCGGUCGAGUCAGAAUUGGUAGAUGGUAGCUUUGCAGAAGAUGGAGGGUAUAAUAAACCAACAAACCCUGUACCAGGAGAUUGUGGCUAUUUUUUGCAUGCACAUCGGGUUAUUCUAUUUCACCCAUCCACGGAUGAGGUUGUUGAAAUAACUGCUCCACUCCCAUCAGUUCUUCAAACUAAUAGCAAAGAAUUGAAUAGAAAGGAGAUACCAAAAGAGGGCCUACAGUGUGUUGCAGGCAGUAGUUCCUAAAAACUAUAAACACUCUCCAGUUGAUUGACCAGUUUGAGACGGGAGCAAGGGCUCGGGUCUUCUUGAAGAACAGACAGAACAAGCGUCGAAGGUCAAUGGAGCGGAGCCAAUGGAGCACACUUGUUGCCAUUUCACUUCUUAUAGUUGCCACAUUUGUGCUAUCCAAAGAUGCUGUAGUCUCGGAUGCAAGUAAUGAAGAAAUAUACCAGAUUGAUUACCGAGGGCCGGAGACGCACUCGGCUUUACCCCCUCCAGAGAUAUCCAGGGCAGAUCCCAAGCCAAAACCUCAGAUGAAGCAUCAUGCACACAAAACUAGAAAGAUAAGGCAUGGAUAGAGAAGGAAAAGCAAAAGUGCAGCGAUGGAAUGCAAUUUAUGGGUUUGUUUAUCUACUGGUCAAGAGUUUGGGUGAUCUCGGUAAAUGACAGGAGAUGGUAUAUGUUAUAUCAUAUAUGUUCGAGUGGGGAAAAAAAGCCAGCAAAAUAAGGUCUGAUAGUUGUUUAGGAUCACUACAUGAUGAUAUUUGAAUCAAAUCAUAGAAGUUGUAUUGCUAUCAUUUUGAAUCAUAUAUGUAUGAUCAGCAUGUCAUGCUAAUUGAAAGCUUGAGUUCA
RNA transcript from Dioscorea cayenensis subsp. rotundata (Guinea yam), 1842 nucleotides. It is a transcript of the gene named RNA pseudouridine synthase 5, with no coding region annotated. The record is from RefSeq and is a predicted model, not a curated record. NCBI's taxonomy places the organism in Eukaryota, Viridiplantae, Streptophyta, Magnoliopsida, Dioscoreales, Dioscoreaceae. The transcript is spliced from 18 exons.